Long non-coding RNA from Clupea harengus (Atlantic herring), 1302 nucleotides. Lineage: Eukaryota; Metazoa; Chordata; Actinopteri; Clupeiformes; Clupeidae. The record is from Ensembl.
UGACCAUUUUUUUCAGACAGUUCUGCAUUGGUGGUUCAGUGGUAGAAUUCUCGCCUGCCACGCGGGAGGCCCGGGUUCGAUUCCCGGCCAAUGCAAUCUAGAUAUUUUAUCUAGAUUAGAAUCAAGUUUUAUGGUAAGCAAGCUGAAGAUUACUUCAGUUGUCAUGCGUAUUGAUCACUUUGACAUAUAUGACAAUAGACAUAUGGAAAUGCACAGAGUAGAUCAAAUUCUUUUUUUUUUUUUUUUUUUUUUUUAAGUAAGCAUAGAAUGCACAGGAAUCUUUCAGCUGAGAUUUGAUUCUUGGCCGAAGGAAUGUAAAUCCUUUUUUUCACCAAUAUAGUUUUAAUUAGAAGCGGUCUGAUUCUCUGAUUUAAUUGUGUAAUAAUCAAUCUAAUUUGACAGUGAAUCUCCGUCUGUGGUUCAAUAUGUUAUGGAAACACUUGCCCAUGCUUGUAUCGCUACUCCUCUGGAUUACUGUAAUUGUAAAUAAGAGAAAUACUAACAGAGAAGUUUGUAUUGUGGAUGAAGGCUGAAACGGCACCGUUCGUCGAGGUCACAUGACCAUUUUUUUCAGACAGUUCUGCAUUGGUGGUUCAGUGGUAGAAUUCUCGCCUGCCACGCGGGAGGCCCGGGUUCGAUUCCCGGCCAAUGCAAUCUAGAUCUUUUAUCUAGAUUAUUAUCUAGUUUUAUGGUAAGCAAGCUGAAGAUUAGUGCAGUUGUCGUGUACUGAUCACUUUGACAUAUAUGACAAUAGACAUAUGGAAAUGCACAGAGUAGAUCAAAUUCUUUUUUUUUUUUUUUUUUAAGUAAGCAUAGAAUGCACAGGAAUCUUUCAGCUGAGAUUUGAUUCUUGGCCGAAGGAAUGUAAAUCCUUUUUUUCACCAAUAUAGUUUUAAUUAGAAGCGGUCUGAUUCUCUGAUUUAAUUGUGUAAUAAUCAAUCUAAUUUGACAGUGAAUCUCCGUCUGUGGUUCAAUAUGUUAUGGAAACACUUGCCCAUGCUUGUAUCGCUACUCCUCUGGAUUACUGUUGGAGCCAGAAUGGGUUUUGUUUAUUGUUAUUAUUUAUAGUUAUGAAAUAUUAGGAUAAGUGUUUUGCAUUUAUCAUAAUUUAAUUAAAUAAUAUUUUGUUGGUAUUUGGAUUUGCUUUGUGUACUGUUGAACAACCUGGAGGUGCGAAAUUGCGUUGGCCACGGCCCACUUCGUCAGGUGACUGCAGCACCUGACCUCGUGAAGGCAAUUAAAGCAGUCUGGACGCGUCACUCCAGAUACAAGUUGGCAGGCAUGCAAGCCAAAAGGUUUUUU